UACGGAGGAUGCGAGCGUUAUCCGGAUUUAUUGGGUUUAAAGGGUGCGUAGGCGGGAUGCCAAGUCAGCGGUCAAAUACGGGGGCUCAACCUGCGUCCGCCGUUGAAACUGGCGUUCUUGGGUGGGCGAGAAGUACGCGGAAUGCGUGGUGUAGCGGUGAAAUGCGUAGAUAUCACGCAGAACCCCGAUUGCGAAGGCAGCGUACCGGCGCCCGACUGACGCUGAAGCACGAAAGCGUGGGUAUCGAACAGG
This 252-nucleotide ribosomal RNA is filed under the name uncultured bacterium. RNAcentral describes it as "partial 16S ribosomal RNA". It matches the Rfam family "Bacterial small subunit ribosomal RNA", at positions 524 to 776 of the family's 1533-position model. The record is from RNAcentral.